AAAUGACUCAAAAUUUUCCCUAAUGGAGUCAAACUUGUCCAAACUGACUAAAAGUUGAAUACUUUCAGUAAAGACUUGAACAAACACAUGAAUAAAAACGAGUCGGACUCCGGAGUCGUUAUUUAGCUCUUUUUUUAAUUUUUUGUUGCCUUUUUUCAUCCUGAUGUGUUUUUUGCGAUGACGUUUCUAAUACAUGAUGCGUUUAAAUGAAGUGUCUCAGAAAAAGGUGCAAACAUCGGCGAACACAAAGAAACAUCCAGACAUUUCAAACAUGGCGGCUCCCCGUCGCUCCGCUAUGACAUCAUCAUCCAGCGACGGCGCCCCCUGCAGGACGCCGCCGCUCUGGUUUGGAUAAAGAAAGAGUUCCGCUGCAGAGAGACUUUUCUACGUUUCCUGAUGCUCAGAAGUUAAAAAAAAAAAAAAAAAAAAAAAAAAAAAGAACCGCUGCUGCCUUCAGGUGAACCUUUAACACCAGGAAAACUGUUUUUUUCCCACAGCGUGUGAACGCAGCGCCAGACUCUGAUUUAAAAACCUGAAUUUGGGAUAAAAUUCAGCCUCGUGGAGAAAAUAAAUCAAUAAAAUCCAAACGAUGUGUCCACAAAGACAAAUAAACAUUUCUAUGAACAGAUUUAAAGCUGCAAACAUGCAAAAGACUUUGAUUAUUUCUCAAAAAAACAGAACAAUUAAAUUUUCUUACGUCCUCAAACAUUUUCUACUCGACUACAAACUUGUUUUUGUUUAUGGAAGGCUGCUGAAAAAGAUUUUGUUUUUUAAAAUGUAAACAAAGCUUUUCUGAUUCAUUUAUUGUGUUGUUUAUUGAUUUACUCACAGAUUUAAUAGAAAAUUUAAAAACAAAAACUACUUUUAAAAAACUAAAAUUAAAUUAAUUAAAAAUAUAUAUAUAAAAAUCAUUUUGUCAUUUUAAUUAUUAUUGUGAUUUUUAAAUAUGUCUUACAUCAUCGGUAUUUUUUCUAAGUUUUCAUUCAGCUGAUUUAUUUUGAAUUUUUUUUUGUUUACAAAGAAAAAAAAUAAGAUGAAAAAAUGAAAAUCCACACAUUUUAAUAUAGAAAAAUUUAUUAAAAAUCAUCUUUUAAUUUUAAUUCUUACUAUGAUUUUUUCCUUUUUGUUUUUCAAAACUGUUUUAAUGUUUUACUUAAAUAUUUUUAAUAUCAAACAUUCCUAAUUCCUCAUUUUGAUGAUUUAUUUUGAAUUCUUUUGAUCUUAAGUCAAAAAUCAAGGAAAAAAUCAAAACAAAUAGGAAUUAAUCCGAAAAAUAUUUAAAUUAUAAGUAUUACUAUUGGUUUUACAUUUUCUUUUCAAAAUUGUUUAAUUUUUUCAGAAUUUCUACAUUAUUUAUAUUUUUUUUGAUUUAAAGACAAAAAAUUACAGAAAAUACUGAAAAAAAACACCAUUCAUGUAAUUUAAA
Long non-coding RNA from Amphiprion ocellaris (clown anemonefish), 1426 nucleotides. The record is from Ensembl. Lineage: Eukaryota; Metazoa; Chordata; Actinopteri; Pomacentridae.